RNAcentral lists this small RNA (75 nucleotides) under Burkholderia glumae. RNAcentral describes it as "isrK". Lineage: Bacteria; Pseudomonadati; Pseudomonadota; Betaproteobacteria; Burkholderiales; Burkholderiaceae. The record is from RNAcentral.
GUCGCUGAGACAACAGCGACCCGGAUUGGCGUCCGGAACUGUACUGGCGGACAACCGCCGUUUGGCGGUAUUUUU